This 1814-nucleotide ribosomal RNA is filed under the name Escherichia coli DEC5A. RNAcentral's name for it is "bacterial LSU rRNA". It matches the Rfam family "Bacterial large subunit ribosomal RNA", at positions 1131 to 2925 of the family's 2925-position model. The record is from RNAcentral. Lineage: Bacteria; Pseudomonadati; Pseudomonadota; Gammaproteobacteria; Enterobacterales; Enterobacteriaceae.
AGCGUAAUAGCUCACUGGUCGAGUCGGCCUGCGCGGAAGAUGUAACGGGGCUAAACCAUGCACCGAAGCUGCGGCAGCGACACUGUGUGUUGUUGGGUAGGGGAGCGUUCUGUAAGCCUGUGAAGGUGUGCUGUGAGGCAUGCUGGAGGUAUCAGAAGUGCGAAUGCUGACAUAAGUAACGAUAAAGCGGGUGAAAAGCCCGCUCGCCGGAAGACCAAGGGUUCCUGUCCAACGUUAAUCGGGGCAGGGUGAGUCGACCCCUAAGGCGAGGCCGAAAGGCGUAGUCGAUGGGAAACAGGUUAAUAUUCCUGUACUUGGUGUUACUGCGAAGGGGGGACGGAGAAGGCUAUGUUGGCCGGGCGACGGUUGUCCCGGUUUAAGCGUGUAGGCUGGUUUUCCAGGCAAAUCCGGAAAAUCAAGGCUGAGGCGUGAUGACGAGGCACUACGGUGCUGAAGCAACAAAUGCCCUGCUUCCAGGAAAAGCCUCUAAGCAUCAGGUAACAUCAAAUCGUACCCCAAACCGACACAGGUGGUCAGGUAGAGAAUACCAAGGCGCUUGAGAGAACUCGGGUGAAGGAACUAGGCAAAAUGGUGCCGUAACUUCGGGAGAAGGCACGCUGAUAUGUAGGUGAAGUCCCUCGCGGAUGGAGCUGAAAUCAGUCGAAGAUACCAGCUGGCUGCAACUGUUUAUUAAAAACACAGCACUGUGCAAACACGAAAGUGGACGUAUACGGUGUGACGCCUGCCCGGUGCCGGAAGGUUAAUUGAUGGGGUCAGCGCAAGCGAAGCUCUUGAUCGAAGCCCCGGUAAACGGCGGCCGUAACUAUAACGGUCCUAAGGUAGCGAAAUUCCUUGUCGGGUAAGUUCCGACCUGCACGAAUGGCGUAAUGAUGGCCAGGCUGUCUCCACCCGAGACUCAGUGAAAUUGAACUCGCUGUGAAGAUGCAGUGUACCCGCGGCAAGACGGAAAGACCCCGUGAACCUUUACUAUAGCUUGACACUGAACAUUGAGCCUUGAUGUGUAGGAUAGGUGGGAGGCUUUGAAGUGUGGACGCCAGUCUGCAUGGAGCCGACCUUGAAAUACCACCCUUUAAUGUUUGAUGUUCUAACGUUGACCCGUAAUCCGGGUUGCGGACAGUGUCUGGUGGGUAGUUUGACUGGGGCGGUCUCCUCCUAAAGAGUAACGGAGGAGCACGAAGGUUGGCUAAUCCUGGUCGGACAUCAGGAGGUUAGUGCAAUGGCAUAAGCCAGCUUGACUGCGAGCGUGACGGCGCGAGCAGGUGCGAAAGCAGGUCAUAGUGAUCCGGUGGUUCUGAAUGGAAGGGCCAUCGCUCAACGGAUAAAAGGUACUCCGGGGAUAACAGGCUGAUACCGCCCAAGAGUUCAUAUCGACGGCGGUGUUUGGCACCUCGAUGUCGGCUCAUCACAUCCUGGGGCUGAAGUAGGUCCCAAGGGUAUGGCUGUUCGCCAUUUAAAGUGGUACGCGAGCUGGGUUUAGAACGUCGUGAGACAGUUCGGUCCCUAUCUGCCGUGGGCGCUGGAGAACUGAGGGGGGCUGCUCCUAGUACGAGAGGACCGGAGUGGACGCAUCACUGGUGUUCGGGUUGUCAUGCCAAUGGCACUGCCCGGUAGCUAAAUGCGGAAGAGAUAAGUGCUGAAAGCAUCUAAGCACGAAACUUGCCCCGAGAUGAGUUCUCCCUGACCCUUUAAGGGUCCUGAAGGAACGUUGAAGACGACGACGUUGAUAGGCCGGGUGUGUAAGCGCAGCGAUGCGUUGAGCUAACCGGUACUAAUGAACCGUGAGGCUUAACCUU